This 338-nucleotide long non-coding RNA is filed under the name Carica papaya (papaya). RNAcentral's name for it is "long non-coding RNA (CPAP_LNC004816)". Lineage: Eukaryota; Viridiplantae; Streptophyta; Magnoliopsida; Brassicales; Caricaceae. The record is from RNAcentral.
GCAUGCCUCCUGUUUGUCAAAUCGCGUCCGUGAUUCACCCACUGGAAAAUUCCAGGCAAACCAAAAGUAAAAUUUCACUAUGUCAAUACGGAUGUGUAUAUAUCUAUAUGUACACGAAAGUUGAUGAAAGGAGCCGUGAGGUUGGAAGUGGGAAUUACUUACAUCUCCUACUGAGUAAUCUAUAGAUACAAAUAAACAGAAUAUCGCUGCUAAAAUGAUGAUGAUCUGCAUUUUGAUUGAAGCUAGUUAUGGGAAGAUAAUUAACCUGAGUAAAUUUCUUCACAGCUCAUGCUUGUCAUCAAUUUAUAGGUAAAAUGUAGGCAGUUUGGUCAUAUACG